Molecule: long non-coding RNA, 627 nt
Filed under: Phascolarctos cinereus (koala)
Lineage: Eukaryota; Metazoa; Chordata; Mammalia; Diprotodontia; Phascolarctidae
Description: lncRNA (ENSPCIG00000001664.2)
Source: RNAcentral
CCCUACAAAUUACAUUUACAGUUUCUGAGACCAGACGAAAUUUCCACUAGACACUUACCAAUGAGAUCAGUUCCAGAAGUGAGACCUAAUAGAAUAUUCUCCCUAUGAAAAAAACAAACCCUCACAUCACCUACACUCUCACAUAGACUGAGAGGGGUAAAGAAUGUUGGUGAUUCUGAGCUAAACAGCUGGAAUUUAGAAUGUUUUCUGAAGUUGGGUUCUGAUCAGCAGCAUUGUCUUCCCAUCAUGAGAAGCAGAUGCAUUAUGGGAUGGGAGGGUAACUUUUGCCUGCCCAAAGGCUAGAUGAAAGAUAAGUACAGUGGUGUAGAAGGAGAAUUUGGACAGAAAUGAAGAAACCUAGAUUUCAAACUGAUGCCUGCCCAAUAUGAGCAAACUGAGCCUUAAGGAAACUAAAUGACUCCUCCCUACCUGUUCGGGGUAUUGCCACCAUUCUGAGACUCAGCAGAUCCUCAUGUGAAAAGCUGAAAUGGGAAACAUGUACCUCAGAACUGAACAGAACUAAAAUUGUGACCUUCAGCUUCUCAGUCAGGAUAUCAUUCCUCCUCACAAAUGAACUAUGGUUUUUGAAGACAAGAGUAUUAUUAGACUGGAAGAAGAUCAGAAAAC